Molecule: non-coding RNA, 787 nt
Filed under: Coleoptera sp. 3 KM-2017
Lineage: Eukaryota; Metazoa; Arthropoda; Insecta; Coleoptera
Source: RNAcentral
UUAAAAUUUGAUUCUGAUUUUAAUAGAUAAUUUAUGGAUAAAUUUUUACAUGUGGCUUUUUGUGAGUUAUGAUUUUUAUCUAAAUGAUAAAUUUUUAUUUAUUCGCAGUUUGUAUUUUUGUUUUUUAUUACUUUUAGAAACAGUUAUUUUAUUUAUUGAUUAGCAAAAAUUGUGCCAGCGGCUGCGGUUAUACAAUUAAUCAAAAUUAUCUUUUUUAGUGUAUAUUUAUUAUAUAUUUGUGAUGUAAAAUUUAUAAAUUUUUAAGUGAAAUUUAAAUUUAUUUAAUUUUGUUAGGUUUAAGAUUAUAUGAAAUUUAUUUUUAGACUAGGAUUAGAUACCCUAUUAUUUUAAAUGUAAUUUUUACCUUUAGUAUUAUUAGUUAUGAUCUUUAAAUUAAAAGGAUUUGACGGUAAUUUAAUCUUUUCAGAGGAACCUGUCCUUUAAUUGAUAAUCCACGAUGAAUUUUACCUUUAAAAAAAUUAUUUAUUUUGGCUUGUAUACCUCUGUUUAUUGAGUGUUUUAUUAGAAAUUUAUUCUCUUUGAUUUAUUUAAAAUGUAUAUCAGGUCAAGGUGCAGCUAUAUAAAGGUGGAGAUGGGUUACAUUAAUAUUUAAAUUAUGAAUUAAAUGUUGUAUUAUAUUUAUGAAAUUGGAUUUGAUUGUAAUUUUUAUUAUUUUUUAAUAAUGAUUUAUGCUCUAGAUUAAGUACACAUCGCCCGUCGCUCUCAUUAUUUAAGAUGAGAUAAGUCGUAACAAAGUAGGCUUACCGGAAGGUGAGCCUGGAAAUAA